AUGGCUCAGGAUGAACGCUAGCUACAGGCCUAACACAUGCAAGUCGAGGGGUAGCGUGAGGGAAGCUUGCUUCCCUUGACGACGACCGGCGAACGGGUGAGUCACGCGUGUCCAACCUGCCCCGUGCCCGGGGAUAGCCCUUGGAAAUGAGGAUUAAGACCCGAUAUGUGGCGCUUCCGCAUGGCGGCGCCAUGAAGCAGGCACGGGAUGGGACGCGUCGGAUUAGCUUGACGGCGGGGCAACGGCCCACCGUGGCGACGAUCCGCAGGGGUUCUGAGAGGAAGGUCCCCCACACUGGCACUGAGACACGGGCCAGACUCCUACGGGAGGCAGCAGUGAGGAAUAUUGGUCAAUGGGCGGGAGCCUGAACCAGCCCAAGUAGCGUGCAGGACGACGGCCCUACGGGUUGUAAACUGCUUUUCCGGGAGGAUAAAGUGAGCCACGCGUGGUUCAUUGCAGGUAUCCCGGGAAUAAGGACCGGCUAAUUCCGUGCCAGCCGCGGC
RNAcentral lists this ribosomal RNA (503 nucleotides) under uncultured bacterium. RNAcentral describes it as "bacterial SSU rRNA". It matches the Rfam family "Bacterial small subunit ribosomal RNA", at positions 19 to 518 of the family's 1533-position model. The record is from RNAcentral.